This 443-nucleotide ribosomal RNA is filed under the name uncultured bacterium. RNAcentral's name for it is "partial 16S ribosomal RNA". It matches the Rfam family "Bacterial small subunit ribosomal RNA", at positions 338 to 795 of the family's 1533-position model. The record is from RNAcentral.
CCUACGGGAGGCAGCAGUGGGGAAUAUUGGGCAAUGGAGGCAAGUCUGACCCAGCAACGCCGCGUGAGUGAUGAAGGUCUUCGGAUCGUAAAACUCUUUUCUAAGAGAAGAAGAAAGUGACGGUACCUUAGGAAUAAGCCUCCGCUAACUACGUGCCAGCAGCCGCGGUAAUACGUAGGAGGCAAGCGUUAUCCGGAAUGAUUGGGCGUAAAGGGUGCGUAGGUGGUUUGACAAGUUAGUAGCGCAACUCCGGUGCUCAACCGCGGAACUACUACUGACACUGUGGGACUUGAGUGCAGGAGGGGCAAUCGGAAGUCCUGGUGUAGCGGUGGAAUGCGUAGAUAUUAGGAGGAACACCAGUGGCGAAGGCGGAUUGCUAGACUGUAACUGACACUGAGGCACGAAAGCGUGGGUAGCAAACAGGAUUAGAUACCCGAGUAGUC